GCUCGAGCCCUGUGCACUGCGGUUCCGUGAACCCCGCCAGGCCCGGAAGGGAGCAACGGUAAGCGGGUCGCCGCAGGUGCCGCAGGUCCACUCGAGUCCC
RNAcentral lists this signal recognition particle RNA (100 nucleotides) under Moorena bouillonii PNG. RNAcentral's name for it is "Moorea bouillonii PNG signal recognition particle sRNA small type". It matches the Rfam family "Bacterial small signal recognition particle RNA". Rfam says of the family: The signal recognition particle (SRP) is a universally conserved ribonucleoprotein involved in the co-translational targeting of proteins to membranes. The record is from RNAcentral. Lineage: Bacteria; Bacillati; Cyanobacteriota; Cyanophyceae; Coleofasciculales; Coleofasciculaceae.